This 453-nucleotide ribosomal RNA is filed under the name uncultured Porphyromonadaceae bacterium. RNAcentral describes it as "partial 16S ribosomal RNA". It matches the Rfam family "Bacterial small subunit ribosomal RNA", at positions 341 to 792 of the family's 1533-position model. Lineage: Bacteria; Pseudomonadati; Bacteroidota; Bacteroidia; Bacteroidales; Porphyromonadaceae. The record is from RNAcentral.
ACGGAAGGCAGCAGUGAGGAAUAUUGGUCAAUGGACGGAAGUCUGAACCAGCCAAGUCGCGUGAAGGAUGAAGGUUCUAUGGAUUGUAAACUUCUUUUGCCCGAGGGUAAAGUCAGGUACGUGUACCUGUUUGCAAGUAUCGGGUGAAUAAGCAUCGGCUAACUCCGUGCCAGCAGCCGCGGUAAUACGGAGGAUGCGAGCGUUAUCCGGAUUUAUUGGGUUUAAAGGGUGCGUAGGCGGAAUGUUAAGUCAGUGGUAAAAGCGUGUGGCUCAACCAUACCAAGCCGUUGAAACUGGCGUUCUUGAGUGUAAACGAGGUAGGCGGAAUAUGACAUGUAGCGGUGAAAUGCUUAGAUAUGUCAUAGAACCCCGAUUGCGAAGGCAGCUUGCCAGCAUACAACUGACGCUGAGGCACGAAAGCGUGGGUAUCAAACAGGAUUAGAUACCCUGGUA